ACUCCUACGGGAGGCAGCAGUGGGGAAUAUUGGACAAUGGGCGCAAGCCUGAUCCAGCCAUGCCGCGUGUGUGAAGAAGGCCUUCGGGUUGUAAAGCACUUUUGUCCGGAAAGAAAAGCUCUGGGUUAAUACCCCGGGGUCAUGACGGUACCGGAAGAAUAAGCACCGGCUAACUUCGUGCCAGCAGCCGCGGUAAUA
Molecule: ribosomal RNA, 198 nt
Filed under: uncultured bacterium
Lineage: Bacteria
Description: partial 16S ribosomal RNA
Rfam family: Bacterial small subunit ribosomal RNA
Source: RNAcentral